GUGUUGUAUGAAAGGAGAGAAGGUUAGCACUCCCCUUGAUAAGGAUAGAGGAGGUCCUACUGGCCUUUAUAAUACAUAUACGGCUAAGGCAUUGCCACCUACUUUGUGGCAUCUAACCAUGUUUUUGA
RNAcentral lists this non-coding RNA (128 nucleotides) under Phascolarctos cinereus (koala). Lineage: Eukaryota; Metazoa; Chordata; Mammalia; Diprotodontia; Phascolarctidae. The record is from RNAcentral.